RNAcentral lists this transfer RNA (75 nucleotides) under Pseudonocardia autotrophica. RNAcentral describes it as "tRNA-Thr". It matches the Rfam family "tRNA". From Rfam's summary of the family: Transfer RNA (tRNA) molecules are approximately 80 nucleotides in length. Their secondary structure includes four short double-helical elements and three loops (D, anti-codon, and T loops). Further hydrogen bonds mediate the characteristic L-shaped molecular structure. tRNAs have two regions of fundamental functional importance: the anti-codon, which is responsible for specific mRNA codon recognition, and the 3' end, to which the tRNAs corresponding amino acid is attached (by aminoacyl-tRNA synthetases). tRNAs cope with the degeneracy of the genetic code in two manners: having more than one tRNA (with a specific anti-codon) for a particular amino acid; and 'wobble' base-pairing, i.e. permitting non-standard base-pairing at the 3rd anti-codon position. Lineage: Bacteria; Bacillati; Actinomycetota; Actinomycetes; Pseudonocardiales; Pseudonocardiaceae. The record is from RNAcentral. RNAcentral also lists the same sequence under 43 other names.
GCCGGUGUAGCUCAGUGGUAGAGCAACCGCCUUGUAAGCGGUAGGUCGUCGGUUCGAUCCCGACCUCCGGCUCCA